UGAGGAAUAUUGGGCAAUGCCCGCAAGGGUGACCCAGCAACGCCGCGUGGAGGAUGAAUGUCGUAAGAUUGUAAACUCCUGUUAGAGGGGAAGAAUAGUACCGGUUGGACCGGUAUAUGACUGUACCCUCAGAGAAAGCCCCGGCUAACUACGUGCCAGCAGCCGCGGUAAUACGUAGGGGGCAAGCGUUGUCCGGAUUUACUGGGUGUAAAGGGCGCGCAGGCGGGAUAAAAAGUCGGUGGUGAAAUCCUACAGCUUAACUGUAGAACUGCCUUUGAUACUUUUAUUCUUGAGUGCGGGAGAGAGAGACGGAAUUCCAGGUGUAGUGGUGAAAUACGUAGAUAUCUGGAAGAACACCAGUUGCGAAGGCGGUCUCUUGGUCCGACACUGACGCUGAGGCGCGAAAGCGUGGGGAGCAAACA
RNAcentral lists this ribosomal RNA (422 nucleotides) under uncultured bacterium. Its description in RNAcentral is "bacterial SSU rRNA". It matches the Rfam family "Bacterial small subunit ribosomal RNA", at positions 355 to 774 of the family's 1533-position model. The record is from RNAcentral.